This 464-nucleotide ribosomal RNA is filed under the name Vreelandella stevensii. Its description in RNAcentral is "partial 16S ribosomal RNA". It matches the Rfam family "Bacterial small subunit ribosomal RNA", at positions 338 to 795 of the family's 1533-position model. Lineage: Bacteria; Pseudomonadati; Pseudomonadota; Gammaproteobacteria; Oceanospirillales; Halomonadaceae. The record is from RNAcentral.
CCUACGGGGGCUGCAGUGGGGAAUAUUGGACAAUGGGCGAAAGCCUGAUCCAGCCAUGCCGCGUGUGUGAAGAAGGCCUUCGGGUUGUAAAGCACUUUCAGUGGGGAAGAAAGCCUUGGGGCUAAUACCCUCGAGGAAGGACAUCACCCACAGAAGAAGCACCGGCUAACUCCGUGCCAGCAGCCGCGGUAAUACGGAGGGUGCGAGCGUUAAUCGGAAUUACUGGGCGUAAGGCGCGCGUAGGCGGUCUGAUAAGCCGGUUGUGAAAGCCCCGGGCUCAACCUGGGAACGGCAUCCGGAACUGUCAGGCUAGAGUGCAGGAGAGGAAGGUAGAAUUCCCGGUGUAGCGGUGAAAUGCGUAGAGAUCGGGAGGAAUACCAGUGGCGAAGGCGGCCUUCUGGACUGACACUGACGCUGAGGUGCGAAAGCGUGGGUAGCAAACAGGAUUAGAUACCCCGGUAGUC